GAUGAACGCUGGCGGCGUGCCUAAUACAUGCAAGUCGAGCGAACAGACGAGGAGCUUGCUCCUCUGACGUUAGCGGCGGACGGGUGAGUAACACGUGGAUAACCUACCUAUAAGACUGGGAUAACUUCGGGAAACCGGAGCUAAUACCGGAUAAUAUAUUGAACCGCAUGGUUCAAUAGUGAAAGACGGUUUUGCUGUCGCUUAUAGAUGGAUCCGCGCCGCAUUAGCUAGUUGGUAAGGUAACGGCUUACCAAGGCAACGAUGCGUAGCCGACCUGAGAGGGUGAUCGGCCACACUGGAACUGAGACACGGUCCAGACUCCUACGGGAGGCAGCAGUAGGGAAUCUUCCGCAAUGGGCGAAAGCCUGACGGAGCAACGCCGCGUGAGUGAAGAAGGUCUUCGGAUCGUAAAACUCUGUUAUUAGGGAAGAACAAAUGUGUAAGUAACUAUGCACGUCUUGACGGUACCUAAUCAGAAAGCCACGGCUAACUACGUG
This 497-nucleotide ribosomal RNA is filed under the name uncultured bacterium. RNAcentral describes it as "partial 16S ribosomal RNA". It matches the Rfam family "Bacterial small subunit ribosomal RNA", at positions 28 to 507 of the family's 1533-position model. The record is from RNAcentral.